Molecule: transfer RNA, 73 nt
Organism: Robinsoniella sp. RHS
Lineage: Bacteria; Bacillati; Bacillota; Clostridia; Lachnospirales; Lachnospiraceae
Rfam family: tRNA
About the family: Transfer RNA (tRNA) molecules are approximately 80 nucleotides in length.
Source: Rfam
GGGAUAUUAGCUCAGUUGGUAGAGCACUUGACUUUUAAUCAAGUUGUCCGGGGUUCGAAUCCCCGAUGUCUCA